GACGAACGCUGGCGGCGUGCCUAAUACAUGCAAGUAGAACGCUGAAGGAGGAGCUUGCUUCUCUGGAUGAGUUGCGAACGGGUGAGUAACGCGUAGGUAACCUGCCUGGUAGCGGGGGAUAACUAUUGGAAACGAUAGCUAAUACCGCAUAAGAGUAGAUGUUGCAUGACAUUUGCUUAAAAGGUGCAAUUGCAUCACUACCAGAUGGACCUGCGUUGUAUUAGCUAGUUGGUGAGGUAACGGCUCACCAAGGCAACGAUACAUAGCCGACCUGAGAGGGUGAUCGGCCACACUGGGACUGAGACACGGCCCAGACGCCUACGGGAGGCAGCAGUAGGGAAUCGUCGGCAAUGGACGGAAGUCUGACCGAGCAACGCCGCGUGAGUGAAGAAGGUUUUCGGAUCGUAAAGCUCUGUUGUAAGAGAAGAACGAGUGUGAGAGUGGAAAGUUCACACUGUGACGGUAUCUGACCAGAAAGGGACGGCUAACUACGUG
Molecule: ribosomal RNA, 495 nt
Filed under: uncultured bacterium
Lineage: Bacteria
Description: partial 16S ribosomal RNA
Rfam family: Bacterial small subunit ribosomal RNA
Source: RNAcentral